Molecule: ribosomal RNA, 245 nt
Filed under: uncultured bacterium
Lineage: Bacteria
Description: partial 16S ribosomal RNA
Rfam family: Bacterial small subunit ribosomal RNA
Source: RNAcentral
UACGGGGGGGGCUAGCGUUGUUCGGAAUUACUGGGCGUAAAGGGCUCGUAGGCGGCCGCCUAAGUCAGACGUGAAAUCCCCAGGCUCAACUUGGGAACUGCGUCUGAUACUGGGUGGCUUGAAUCCGGGAGAGGGAUGCGGAAUUCCAGGUGUAGCGGUGAAAUGCGUAGAUAUCUGGAGGAACACCGGUGGCGAAGGCGGCAUCCUGGACCGGUAUUGACGCUGAGGAGCGAAAGCCAGGGGAG